CUAAGAAGAAACAACAGAACCAAGCACAGCACAGCACACAACACGAGCAACAGUGUCCUUCUCUCAGGAAGUUUGUACAGACGCCCACUCCCAUAACACGCAUAUUGAAUACGCAACCAGAGCACGCACACGCAUAUAUAUAUAUAUAUAUAUAACUGUAAGGCAAAUAUAUCGCACGCUCACGCACUAGCACGUACUGUGCCGCGAACGAAAGCCAAACAACAACAAAAAGGAAGCAGCCUGCGGAGCACAAGCUCAAAACAAAGCCGACGAUGCGAGCAUCUGUCAUGCUAUGUGCCGCCUUGGGCGGUUUUCUCUUCGGCUAUGACACGGGCGUCAUCAAUGCUGCCCUGUUCCAGAUGAAGGACCACUUCGGCUUCAGCGAGCAUUCGUGGCAGUACGCCCUCAUCGUCGCCAUUGCCAUCGCUGGUGCCUUCGUUGGCGCCUUUAUUUCUGGCUUCAUCUCUGCCGCCUUUGGUCGCCGUCCAUGCAUCGCCGUGGCGGACGCCCUGUUCGUUAUCGGCUCUGUGCUUAUGGGCGCUGCCCCAAAUGUGGAAGUGGUGCUCGUGUCGCGCGUCAUCGUCGGCUUGGCUAUCGGUAUCAGCUCUGCCACCAUUCCAGUGUACCUGGCGGAAGUAACAUCGCCGAAGCACCGUGGCGCCACCAUCGUUCUCAACAACCUGUUUCUGACAGGUGGCCAGUUUGUUGCGGCCGGUUUCACCGCGAUCAUGGUCGUCUUCACGAGCAAGAACAUCGGUUGGCGUGUGGCGAUCGGCAUAGGUGCGCUGCCGGCUGUCGUUCAGGCGUUCUGCCUCCUCUUUUUCCUGCCGGAGAGCCCACGCUGGCUUCUCUCGAAGGGCCACGCGGACCGCGCCAAGGCGGUAGCGGACAAGUUCGAGGUGGACCUCUGCGAGUUCCAGGAGGGCGAUGAGCUGCCGUCCGUCAGCAUCGACUAUCGCCCGCUGAUGGCGCGCGACAUGCGCUUCCGCGUGGUGCUCAGCUCUGGGCUGCAGAUCAUUCAGCAGUUUUCGGGUAUCAACACCAUCAUGUACUACAGCUCUGUGAUCCUGUACGACGCCGGCUUCCGAGACGCCAUCAUGCCAGUCGUUCUGUCCAUCCCGCUCGCCUUCAUGAAUGCCCUCUUCACGGCGGUAGCCAUCUUCACGGUCGACCGCUUUGGUCGCCGCCGCAUGCUGCUCAUCUCUGUCUUUGGCUGCCUUGUGCUGCUGGUGGUGAUUGCCAUAAUUGGCUUCUUCAUCGGCACGCGCAUCUCGUACUCCGUUGGUGGCGGGCUUUUCUUGGCGCUGCUCGCCGUCUUUCUCGCCUUGUACGCGCCUGGCAUUGGCUGCAUCCCGUGGGUGAUCAUGGGCGAGAUCUUUCCUACGCACCUGCGGACGUCGGCGGCAUCCGUCGCGACCAUGGCCAACUGGGGGGCCAACGUACUCGUGUCGCAGGUGUUUCCGAUCCUGAUGGGCGCCAUCGGCGUCGGCGGCACCUUCACGAUCAUCUCCGGUCUCAUGGCCCUCGGCUGCAUAUUUGUCUACUUCUUCGCCGUGGAGACGAAGGGGCUCACGCUGGAGCAGAUCGACAACAUGUUCCGCAAGCGCGCCGGCCUGCCGCCGCGCUUCCACGAGGAAGGCGAGAGCGGCGAAAGCGGUGCCGGUUACCGCGAAGACGGCGACCUCGGCCGCCUGGCGACGGAGGAUGUCUGUGACCUGUCCUCGUUGGGCAACCGGGUUGUGUCCUUUGCCAAAGCGGAGGACGCCUUCACGGAGGUGGCAAUGCCCGAUCGCCACGCCGUGUCCAACAAGUUUGAAGAGAGAGCGACGAGCUCUUCCUCAGAUCCCCAGUCGCUCGAAAACCAGGACGAGGUGCGGCAAGCAGCCAUCAAAGCAGCUCCGCACGAGCCCAAGUAGAGACCGUAAACCCCACUCCCUCCCUCCCUCCCUACAACUGCAUCUUCCCUACCGACUCCAUAUAAAGUCCAUGCACGCCUAUAUGCGAGUCGCUGAGGUGGCGAGAUGAGCGGACGGAGGAGGAACAGAGAAUAAAAGGGAAAAGGCUUCUGGCACAUGUAGUCUGGCGCACCUGUGCAGCACGCAUCAGAACGAAAAAAGAAAGACAGCCCGCGCCGCUCGGGGAUGAUCUGGUGCGCACCUCUUCCUCUAUCCAUUGUGUUCGCGUGUAUGUUUCUGUGCCUUGUACGUCUCCUGGGGGAGUCAUCGAGACUUUGGCCCAGCUCUCUGUCUACGCUUCAAAGGAUGUGUUGUCUUCAUCCAGCUCGUAUGCACGUGUAUGAGAAUGUUUUCUUUUUUUCUCUUCCAGCCUGCAUGCGAGUCUGAGGUGCCUGCGUGCGUGCACUCUUUACUUCGCCAAAAACACAUCUGUGAAGCUUCUCGUGCCCCUUUGGGUAUGUUUGUACGCUCUAUUUUUCAUCUGGAUGUCUUCGCGUGUUUAUAUCUGUGUGCGUGUGCGCGUGAAACGGUACGUCCAACACAUGGGGGCUCUCUUGCUUGCGUUUAUAUAUAUGUACAUGCAUGUAUGUAUGUAUGUGUGUGUGUGUGUGUCUGUCUAUUUCUAUGACUGUUUCCAUCAUUCCGUGCUGCUGUCCCUCUGCCUCUAUCCUCUCUACAUAUAUAUGUGUAUAUAUGCAUAUAUAUGUAGGUAGGCAGAUAUUGAUCUAUUUAUUUCUAUCUUCAGUCGCGGUUCCAGUACUUCUAUUUUCCUCUACUCUAUUUUUAAAAAGAGAAGCGCGUUUUUUUUUUACCUCCCCUUCCCUCUCCCUCUCGGUUUUCAUCUCUGCCCCCCCCGCCCCCCUCCUCACAUCAACACCCGCGGUGCUGCCGACUCGCCUCCCUUGCUUUGUUGUUGCUCUCUAUCUCCUUCAUUUGCAUCACACACACAUACACACACACCGGUGCAUUCAGGUAUGUAUGUGUAUGCGUAUGUGUGUGCGUGUGUGUAACUGAGCCUGUGUGAGCCUCUAUUUAUGUGGAUGCGUGAUGAGAUGCAGGCCGAUGAGGCAGCGAAGCGAGAGACAGAGAAACUAUAGGCAGUUGAGGAUUUCCGCCCCCUUUCCCUCACUCCCCAUCCCCCACCACCCGAUACACACACACACACACAACACACAUACAUACGCGAUGACGUGUUCAAUGCGCAGUUGGUUUCCGUUUUUCGGGGGCGGGGGGGCGCUUUUUUUUUGUCACGAAAGAAAAACAAAUUCUAUAUAUGUUUUACCUACUUUCCUUUGCUCUCCACCAAUCUCGCCCAUCUUCCUCCCUUCCCCUCCCUCUUCACCUGUGCGACGACCACUUCGAAGUUCAAACACGCACCUCCAUCUAUCCCUUCCCUUCCCCUUCUCCCUUCUCUUCCCCCCCCCUCUCCUCGUCCAUCUGCCUCUCCACUCCCUUUGUGAACGGAUGCGUCCUCAUCUAAAUCAAAGGGAGGGCGUUGGUCGCCAUCACCUCCCCCCCCCCUGCUCACUAUCCCUCCAUCUCUUGCCUCUUCCUCGUUUCUUCGCCGUAACUUCUUCCUUCUCCGCCCCUCACUUGACUGCGCAGGCGCGGCUGCUGCGAUGCGCGCAGGUAUGCAUGCACGUCUCUGAGAAGCGGAGAGCGGCGUGAGGAAGACAAAGAGGAGAACAGCGCAGGUGGGGGGAGCAGUGUUGUCACAGCAGCUAGGCGAGUGGCAGCGGAACGAGAAAAAGAGGGCGCAAGGGCCAGGCGGCGCGUGCGUGUUACCCUCCCACUUCUCUCCCGACCCGUCUCGCGAGAUACCCCCUUUUGUUGCCCUUCGUCCGAAAGGCGAACAGGCAAACUCGUGGGGAUAAGGAGAAAUGAAAGAAGAAACGAGCAGGAUAUGGGAGAAACGCGCAUUUGUGGCCUCGUCCCCGUCCAACCCUCACCCUCUAUCCUACACCUUCCUUCUACGUUCAUGCCAUGGCGUGUGUGAGUAUGGAUAACUUGGGAAGGGGUGCGCCGCCUCUUCUCGUGGCAUUGCUGUAGUAUUCAUUGCUCUUGAUUAGCUGUUAGAGUUGGUGCGCGCUCUCCACAUUUCCCAGGUGCUCGCUUCAUAUGGUUGUUGUCACCGCCACGUGGCGGCGCCUCCGUGUGCACGUGUUCGCGUGCGCACGCGCCUCUUCCGCUUCAAACCCUCCCUCGCCAAUUCGCCCUUUUUUGGGACGUUCUCGCCCUCCUCUCUCUCUCUCUCUCGCCGGAGAGUGGUCCCCCCCCCCUUCCGUCUAUUCGGCUCGGUGCGUCGCAUGAGUGAUCCAAGGGAUGUUGUGAAAGGGAAAAAAAAAGCAGCGAAAAAAAAGUGAAUGUCACCGCGAAGAAGAACCAAAAAGGCAUACACCAGCCCCCCUCUCUCCUCCCUCUCCAUCUGUGUGCAUGUGUGUGUGUGUGUGCCUCCGUGCCUCCUCCCUCGUCUUCAUCGUCCUCGUCGUGUCUUCAUUUCAAUUUUUGUUGUUUGUUGUUUGCUUUUCUUUCCUCUCGCCCUUCUAGGGCCGCUCAUGCUUGAGGCCCACGAAUAUGUACCGAAGAUGGUGAAGGUUGUCAGUCUACUCCCUCCUCCUUCCCUGCCUCCCCUUGUAUCGUGUGCGCGGAGCACAUCCGUGUCCGUGUUGGUCGAUCGCGCCCUUGCUCUCCCUUUCUCUCCCGUGUGCGUUCUUGUGGGAACCUCUGCACAUGGGCAAGGAGGGAGGCACAGCACUUUCCAAGAUGAUUCGAUGCGGAAAGCAGCACCUGUGCAGGAACACACACGCAGAGACCUACCACAGCGAUAGCGGAAAGGCGGGAGGAGGGAAGUAGAGACGCUUCGAUUACAACCUCCCGCCCCCUUUUUCACCUCAACCGCCCAUCUCUUAACCUCUCUGCUCACUCAACCACAACGACAAGAACUGUCGUUGACGCGCAGCAACUUAUAAAAAAAAGAAGUGCAAGAGAGAUACGCAAGCCUAACGAGAGUGAGCACAUAACGAGAGGGAGUCUGUCCCCUCCCCCUCCUCUCCCCUCCCCCACCUUCCACCUACUGCUUAGAAAAGAGAGGAGUGUGUGCCCUCUGUCACGUCUUGACGGGCUGCGUGGGUGGUACGGGGCAGACGCUCCUCUUCUCCGGUCAUCUGUUCGCCCCCCUCCUCUCCUCUCCUCUCCCAGACUUGGUUUCUCUCUUGUUCUUUGAGUGCCCCUUUUUCUUUCGUGUGUUUUUCUUUGUAUGCCUGCCUGUGUGUGGGGGGUGGGGUGUGUGUGUGUGUCUCUCUCUCUCUCUGUCAUGGGUGUUGUAAGAGGGUGGUGUACGUGCUGAAGCACAAGGAUGC
This 5314-nucleotide unclassified non-coding RNA is filed under the name Leishmania donovani. RNAcentral's name for it is "gene:LdHU3.24.0820(CDS-product:myo-inositol/proto n_symporter_(MIT))". The record is from RNAcentral. Lineage: Eukaryota; Euglenozoa; Kinetoplastea; Trypanosomatida; Trypanosomatidae.